GGUGAACGCUGGCGGCGUGCCUAAUACAUGCAAGUCGAGCGAACGGACGAGAAGCUUGCUUCUCUGAUGUUAGCGGCGGCCGGGUGAGUAACCCGUGGAUAACCUACCUAUAAGACUGGGAUAACUUCGGGAAACCGGAGCUAAUACCGGAUAAUAUUUUGAACCGCAUGGUUCAAAAGUGAAAGACGGUCUUGCUGUCACUUAUAGAUGGAUCCGCGCUGCAUUAGCUAGUUGGUAAGGUAACGGCUUACCAAGGCAACGAUGCAUAGCCGACCUGAGAGGGUGAUCGGCCACACUGGAACUGAGACACGGUCCAGACUCCUACGGGAGGCAGCAGUAGGGAAUCUUCCGCAAUGGGCGAAAGCCUGACGGAGCAACGCCGCGUGAGUGAUGAAGGUCUUCGGAUCGUAAAACUCUGUUAUUAGGGAAGAACAUAUGUGUAAGUAACUGUGCACAUCUUGACGGUACCUAAUCAGAAAGCCACGGCUAACUACGUG
Molecule: ribosomal RNA, 497 nt
Filed under: uncultured bacterium
Lineage: Bacteria
Description: partial 16S ribosomal RNA
Rfam family: Bacterial small subunit ribosomal RNA
Source: RNAcentral